UGUCGUUUAAACGAUUAUAUCAUAAAAUUGAUACCGUUUCCAACAAACGAUCAUCCAUUUGCCGAGUAAGAAAGACGAAAACGUACGAAGAUUACCGAACGAAGGAAGUUGACUUUACGAAUCACAUCGACAGUUGCGUGUCGGUCCCCGUGCCGUGCGGUACGGUAUUUAGUAUUCUCUUUAUUCUUUUGUGUAAUUGAUUACUAUUACUUUUUUUUUUUUAUUUUUCUUAAUUAUAUCUGAUAUAAACGUAUAUGUAUACCUCUCGUAUUAAUCUACUGUGAUUUAGAAGUUCGUCGUGUAUGUUUUGAAGCACGAUCAACGAAUUCACUAACGAUGUUAAGUUCUCGGUUUCUGCUUUCGUCCUUAUGUACAUAUGUAUAUAUCUAUGUAUAUAUGUAGUAUGUAUCUACGAAAAAGAAAAAAAAAAAAAAGAAAUUAGAAAGAAUAGAGAAGAUGACUGAAGAAAGGAAGAAAGAAGAAGAAGAGGUCAGUCACGAAACGAUACUUCUUUUAUUUAGUUGAGAAUUACGAGAGUGGAACGAAGCUCACAGGUGCACGAACUUAGAGAAGGCGAUGCGUGCGAAUUAGCUCGAGUACACUCCUCUAUAUUUCCCUUCAUUUCAGCUUACUAUAUUUCGUAAGUCAGUUUAGUUUCGAUUGAAGAGGAAGAACGAAAGGAAGAACCUAACCUAAAAUCUGGAAAAAAGAAAAGAAAAGAAAGAUUAUGAAAAGUGACAAAAAGGAAAGACAAAAUUUCAUAUCUGCAUAUAAAUAAAAUC
Vespa velutina is the source of this 782-nucleotide long non-coding RNA. RefSeq lists it as uncharacterized. The transcript is spliced from 3 exons. The record is from RefSeq and is a predicted model, not a curated record. NCBI's taxonomy places the organism in Eukaryota, Metazoa, Arthropoda, Insecta, Hymenoptera, Vespidae.